RNAcentral lists this ribosomal RNA (253 nucleotides) under uncultured bacterium. RNAcentral describes it as "partial 16S ribosomal RNA". It matches the Rfam family "Bacterial small subunit ribosomal RNA", at positions 524 to 776 of the family's 1533-position model. The record is from RNAcentral.
UACGAAGGGGGCUAGCGUUGCUCGGAAUCACUGGACGUAAAGGGUGCGUAGGCGGGUCUUUAAGUCAGGGGUGAAAUCCUGGAGCUCAACUCCAGAACUGCCUUUGAUACUGAAGGUCUUGAGUUCGGGAGAGGUGAGUGGAACUGCGAGUGUAGAGGUGAAAUUCGUAGAUAUUCGCAAGAACACCAGUGGCGAAGGCGGCUCACUGGCCCGAUACUGACGCUGAGGCACGAAAGCGUGGGGAGCAAACAGG